RNAcentral lists this transfer-messenger RNA (394 nucleotides) under bacterium. It matches the Rfam family "transfer-messenger RNA". From Rfam's summary of the family: Bacterial tmRNA, also known as 10Sa RNA or SsrA, is named for its dual tRNA and mRNA-like properties. Its role is to liberate the mRNA from a stalled ribosome. The record is from RNAcentral.
GGGGGUGACGGGUAUUGAUAGGAACUGAUAGUACUUUGACGCAGGUCGAGCAACUCUGUCCACUCGUUAAACGGUCGGGGAAAUUGAUACUUGCAAAAAAUGUAUCUUCUGGUCGUCUCGCUCUUGGAAGCAUGUUGAAUGCUUUCCGAGCACCGGCCUUUGCUCGCGCGUAAAACCCGCGACAGGAUCUUCUGAUUCCUCUAGGGAGGCAUUCCUGUAAUAUGAGGAUGGAUUAUAGACGGCGUCUGGCGUUUAUAAUCGAGAUUGACAAAGACUAUAGAGAGCAUGUGUUUGCAUUCUUCGCAUGAUUUCCGAAUAUAAAAGAAUGCUAUACCUGUAGUGUCAGAUGCCGGAUGUUUACUAGACGAGGGUUCGACUCCCUCCACCUCCACCA